CCUACGGGUGGCUGCAGUGGGGAAUAUUGCACAAUGGGCGCAAGCCUGAUGCAGCCAUGCCGCGUGUGUGAAGAAGGCCUUCGGGUUGUAAAGCACUUUCAGCGGGGAGGAAGGCGUUAAGGUUAAUAACCUUGGCGAUUGACGUUACCCGCAGAAGAAGCACCGGCUAACUCCGUGCCAGCAGCCGCGGUAAUACGGAGGGUGCAAGCGUUAAUCGGAAUUACUGGGCGUAAAGCGCACGCAGGCGGUCUGUCAAGUCGGAUGUGAAAUCCCCGGGCUCAACCUGGGAACUGCAUUCGAAACUGGCAGGCUAGGGGCUUGUAGAGGGGGGUAGAAUUCCAGGGGGAGCGGUGAAAGGCGUAGAGAGCUGGGGGAAUACCGGUGGCGAAGGCGGCCCCCUGGACAAAGACUGACGCUCAGGUGCGAAAGCGUGGGGAGCAAACAGGAUUAGUACCCUGGUAGUC
This 464-nucleotide ribosomal RNA is filed under the name uncultured Klebsiella sp. Its description in RNAcentral is "bacterial SSU rRNA". It matches the Rfam family "Bacterial small subunit ribosomal RNA", at positions 338 to 795 of the family's 1533-position model. The record is from RNAcentral. Lineage: Bacteria; Pseudomonadati; Pseudomonadota; Gammaproteobacteria; Enterobacterales; Enterobacteriaceae.